This 64-nucleotide transfer RNA is filed under the name Georissa bangueyensis. RNAcentral describes it as "tRNA-Met". The record is from RNAcentral. Lineage: Eukaryota; Metazoa; Mollusca; Gastropoda; Cycloneritida; Hydrocenidae.
AAUAAAAUAAGCUAAUCCUAAGCUGUUAGGUUCAUACCCUAAAAAUGACUUUCGUCUUUUAUUA